This is a long non-coding RNA of Columba livia (rock pigeon), 2798 nucleotides long. RefSeq lists it as uncharacterized. The transcript has 2 exons. NCBI's taxonomy places the organism in Eukaryota, Metazoa, Chordata, Aves, Columbiformes, Columbidae. The record is from RefSeq and is a predicted model, not a curated record.
CCUCACACCUGCGCUGGCCCCGCCCCGCCCAGGUGCGCUGCAUUUCCGGCCCGCCCCGCGCAGGCGCCGCCUCUUCUUCCGGCAGAGCCGCGGCGGCUCCGCUCCAGGCGGACGCUGGUAACGGACCGGGCGCUCCGGGGGAACCAGCGAGCGGGACGCGGCGCUGCAGCCCCGGCCCGGGGGCGGUGAGCUUGGGCUGAGCUGGAACCGGGGACAGGGCUCGCGGGAACCGGGGCUGCGGCCCUGCCGGGACCGCUGCCGGCCCGGGAGUCCCGGCCCCGGUGUCCGCCGCUUCCCGGGCGGCCGGGGCCGGAGGGUUCCGCUCCCCCGAGCUCCCGGAGCCCCGAGUCCGGCCUCCCCGGCCCCGUCCCGGCGGGCAGGAGCAGCAGCAGCAGCGCUGGAACCGAGCCGGGAGCUGCCGGAGCUCCGGAGCUCAAGUCCCGCGUUCCCCCGCGGCUGCUGCCGGGCCGGGCUGGCGGGGACACCCCGGGAAGGCUGGAGCCCCCGGCGGCCCCGGGGCUGCCCCGGCACCGUCUGCCCGGACCCGCCGCGCAGCUCGGGGCCCCCGAACACCGACCGGGAAGGGGAAGUGAAGGGACGUCUGGACUCUCACAGCCCUUCGGGCCCUGCCCCGAGGGGGCUGCACCCGCCCCGGACACACCGGGGGGCUCCGGGCUGAGCCCGCAACAAAACCGGCCAAAUGAGCCGCGUUUCAAGCCCCCAAAACACAGGGCUUGGUGUCUGCCCCAUCAGUGGCCACAUGAGCCUCGUUGGAACCACAGGAACAGGGGACUGAGUCUCCUCCUCCAGCCCCAGAACUGCCCCAGCAACACGGGCUCCAGCCCUUCCACACACAGCACUUUGUGUCCAGCCCUUCACAGGCCACAUGAGCCUGCUUGUCAGCCACAGGCACGUGAACCAGCCUCUGUGACCCACAGCCACCACUUAGUCUCUGUUUGUGACCCCCCAAUUCACGACUUAGUCUCUGUGACCCAGAUUCAUGACUUAGUCUGUUUGUGAGCCCCCUCAACUCCUGACUUAGUCUCUGUUUGUGAGCUCUGUGAUUCCCGACUUAGUCUCUUUUUUGUGUGGGUCACAGAGACUAACCCAUGAAUUGGGGGUCUCACAAACAGACUAAGUCCUAAUUUGGGUCACAGAGACUGUCAUGAAUCUGGGGUGCAGACAUUAAAUUGUGCAUUGAGGGCUCACCAAAAAGAGACUAAGUCAGGAACUGGAGAGCUCACAAACAGAGACUAAGUUGUGAACUGGGUUCACAGAGUCUAAGUCAUGAAUCUGGGUCACAGAGAAUAAGUCAGGAAUUGGGGGGGCUCACAAACAGAGACUAAUUAUCAAAUGUGGGGCCCAGAAACCAGAGACUAUGUCGUGAAUUGGGGGGGUCACAAACAGAGACUAAGUGGUGGCUGUGGGUCACAGAGGCUGGUUCACGUGCCUGUGGCUGACAAGCAGGCUCAUGUGGCCUGUGAAGGGCUGGACACAAAGUGCUGUGUGUGGAAGGGCUGGAGCCCGUGUUGCUGGGGCAGUUCUGGGGCUGGAGGAGGAGACUCAGUCCCCUGUUCCUGUGGUUCCAACGAGGCUCAUGUGGCCACUGAUGGGGCAGACACCAAGCCCUGUGUUUUGGGGGCUUGAAACGCGGCUCAUUUGGCCGGUUUUGUUGGGGGCUCAGCCCGGAGCCCCCCGGGUGUGUCCGGGGCGGGUGCAGCCCCCUCGGGGCAGGGCCCGAAGGGCUGUGAGAGCCCAGACGUCCCGUCCCUUCCCUUCCCUGUAGGUGUUCGGGGACUCGGGGGCCCCCAGCUGCGCGGCGGGUCCGGGCAGACGGUGCCGGGGCAGCCCCGGGGCCGCCGGGGGCUCCAGCCUUCCCGGGGUGUCCCCGCCAGCCCGGCCCGGCAGCAGCCGCGGGGGAACGCGGGACUUGAGCUCCGGAGCUCCGGCAGCUCCCGGCUCGGCUCCAGCGCUGCUGCUGCUGCUCCUGCCCGCCGGGACGGGGCCGGGGAGGCCGGACUCGGGGCUCCGGGAGCUCGGGGGAGCGGAACCCUCCGGCCCCGGCCGCCCGGGAAGCGGCGGACACCGGGGCCGGGACUCCCGGGCCGGCAGCGGUCCCGGCAGGGCCGCAGCCCCGGUUCCCGCGAGCCCCGUCCCCGGUUCCAGCUCAGCCCAAGCUCACCGCCCCCGGGCCGGGGCUGCAGCGCCGCGUCCCGCUCGCUGGUUCCCCCGGAGCGCCCGGUCCGUUACCAGCGUCCGCCUGGAGCGGAGCCGCCGCGGCUCUGCCGGAAGAAGAGGCGACGCCUGCGCGGGGCGGGCCGGAAAUGCAGCGCACCUGGGCGGGGCGGGGCCAGCGCAGGUGUGAGGGGCGGGGCCUCGUGGCGCAUGCGCGGGGCGGGCCCAGCGCAGGUGUGAGGGGCGGGGCCUGGGGUAUUUAAGGCGCGCGGCGGCGUCGGUUCCGGUUUCUCGGUGCGUGCGGGGGCGGCAGCGGCCGGUCCGGGCUCUCCCGGCGGGGCCCAGGCAGCUUGUGACAGUGAUUGAUUUACGAUCUGGCCCAAGGCCAAGCUCAAUGGAACAAGCACAAGCUGAAAUGAGCUGAACUGGAGCUGGAGCUGCAGAACAACUGGAACCAGAAGCAGCUGCAGAGGAGCUGGAACCGCAAACAGGCUUGAAGCUGCACAGGCUGGAGCUGGAGCUGAAAGAAACCAGAGAGAGAAACUGGAACCAGAACUCACCUUCAUGUGAAACACAAAAGGCACAAACACAAAGGGAAUAAUAAACGGUGCACAGCAAAUAAA